This 2943-nucleotide ribosomal RNA is filed under the name Triticum aestivum (bread wheat). RNAcentral describes it as "partial small subunit ribosomal RNA". The record is from RNAcentral. Lineage: Eukaryota; Viridiplantae; Streptophyta; Magnoliopsida; Poales; Poaceae.
GUAGAUCUCCGCCAGCUUCUUCCUUCCCCUUUGUCCGCCCCGACUUCCCUGAUCUCGCCGUCCUCCUCUUUCAGAUCCUCCCCCUCCCCAUCCACGACCGCGCGACCUCCCCAUCCAUGGCCAUCUGCCCCUAUGCAUCCCGCAACCGCCGCGGCGACAUCCUCGUCCCCAGAGGCGGGGACUUCCCUUAAGGCGAACCUAGUGCACGUGGCGCCGGUACCGUUGAUGCGGGUCGGGCGGCGGUCAGAUCUGCCACGGCCAGAACCGGCGUCCUCUUCCUCCCUAUCCAGCUUCCUCCCAUGGCUGAGAAGAGGGCUUCGUCAAGGAUCCCAUGACGGAGGUCAACGUGGGAGGCUGCUUCCUCCGAUCCCAGAUCGACCAUCCGUCGAUGGAGGCCAUGAGAGCCACGUGGGCACACACAUGGCUGCGCUUCAAGCUGCAGCUCGAUAGAUGCAGGGACGCCGCCAUGGAACAGUCAGGGCCUCCCUUCUCUUCCCGUUUAGUCCGAUCCGCCACUGCCAGCCAUUUCCGGCGCCCUUGCACCAAAGCGGUGAAGGGCACAAUGAUGAAUUCAACGCAAGAUCCUACUGGUGAUCCAACAGAUGGGAGCCCAACAGACGCAAACACAUCAGAUGCCUAAGAAAAGGACUGGCAAAUAAAAUAGGAAUCCAAACUUGCAAAAUUCUCUUUUACAGAACGCUAGUACUACUGGGACUCUAUGUACAAGGCACAAUGUAAUUGCUCCAAAUACGCUCAUACAAGUUGCAACAAUGAAUACUCGAAUGUUUCGAGCAAUGGGAAGUUGUUUGGCCCCGUUUGCUUGCAAGAUGUGACGCUCAUGGCAGCCACGCCCCCACAACCAAGAAUUGACUUGUAUAUCCAGUGCGUGCUAUAGAAAAAAUCUCAAGAUGGAAGAUCAUCGAAGGCACUCAAUAUUUAUAUUCUACGACUGAUGCAGAAGUGGUCAGUGCAAUCCAUCUAUCCUUGAUAACAGCGUACAAGGCUCCAACCCUCAUCUGCCAACUUUAAAUAUGUGUUUUACAUCUAUUUUAAUGACUCAUUGGAACAUAAAACUCUAUAAUAUCAAAGUUAGUAUUCAUAUGAUUUUCGCAUUGUUUUUGAGUAUCUCGGAAGCUCUGACUCAUGUCAUUCCAUCAUUUCUUUAUUCACUACUACAUUGAUCCUUCUACAUCAAGUUCAUCUUUGUCUUAGUUGAUAGCAUCAAUGCUAUAACUUACAAACAUGUCAAUCUCCCUCGGACCAACAAAUUUCCUUCCCUGGUAGAUGGCUAGACCGUUGUCGAUGACUCCAAGGGAUGACUCUAUCACCAAGGUGCAAACCUAGGGUUUAAUUCCAACAAAAAUAGGAACACGCAUUUUAUCAUUGAUUCUAGCACACCCCCUCUAACUUCAUUUCAAGACUAUGAAUCACACAAAUAUGUGAAAAUGGUAGGUGAUGUCUCUUGGCCAAAAAUCAUGUCUUUCGAGCAUCACCCAAGUUUUUUUUCGAUAUCAUCACCCUAGGAUUUUUUAGAUGAUGAACUCAGAAAUAUGGAAAACAUUCGGAUGAAUGAAUGGGACAUAACCCAUAUCAUAUGAGACAACUAAGAUCUUCUCAAAAAUACUCACUCCAUUGUCGUUUCCAUUUCCACCUUGCAAAUUUAAACUAGAUAAAAAUCCUAUGCUUAUUCUACCCUCCGCCGCAUUCCAUCCCUGUCGUAUGGCCCAAUCUUGCAUUGGGACAACACAACAUAAGUCAUACCGGCCGCAUCGGGGACCCGAGCGCCAUCCAAAGCCGGUGGAUGACCCAACGUACAUAGCUAAUUGUUACCGAAAAAGUAAUGAAACCACUUCAUCGUAUGCGUAUAUUUAUGGAAUUUCCCAGAACAUUCUACAGGAUAGUAGCAAGGAAUACACACUAGUUUAAAACAUGAUUACACCCCUUUCAUGAAAAUUGGAUAGAAAUCUAUAACAAACAAUAGUUAAAUACUUGUAAUACUCAUGUGAAACCACGCUUGCUUGACAAACCUACAUGUCUCUGCUUUGUAACUAUACAUAGACAUUUUAUAAGGCAACAACAAUGAAUUAUCCAUACACUAGUAUAACUUGAGUUGCUUACCGAAUUUAAUUGUAUUUCCUAUCAUAUGACAUCUUAAAUGUUGCUACGAAUUUGGUGAUUGAGAUGAUGAGGCAAAUAUGUUGCCUGGUGUAAUAACACAAGAGAGCUACUUCAGUUUGAUGCUUCUUUAGUAAUUUAUUAGCAUGAUUCACUAAUCAUGGUUGUAUAGCCAACAUUUUCCAACUUGAAGUGUUGCCAAUUAACUGACAACCGCACAUUUGUUUCAUACAUCAGGACUAUAUGAGCUGAAUUACUUUUAUAUAUUUCAGGUUUUAAGGUCUUUGGGCUCCAACGUAACAUCUUUAUAGGAACAUAUCUUCCAUUAUUGGACCCAAAAACUUUUGUUGAGGUUGUUGGGAUUGGUAAAGGGAAGCAUAAUUUAAUUAGAUUUUGUUCAAGACUCAUGCAAAACAAACAAAGGUCUAUUAGUUUCAGCCAACAUGACAAAAGGCAUAAAUUGUUCCAUGCUUGCUAGAAAAGAUGUAACCAACGCCUUAGCAGGUGAUUUCAGGAGAACUAAGGCGAAGUUAAAUGAUCAAUUUUGGGAAGCUGUUUGGCCCUAUUUUCUUGCAAGAGGGUGGCACUCAAAGCAUCCAAAAGACGUCCAGCAUCCAAGAAAUACCUUGUAUAUAUAGUGCAUCCUAAGAAAAAUUCUCAAGAAGGAAGCUCGCUAAAGUCACUCACUAUUAUGAUUCUAUCACUGUGAAGUGGCCAGUGCAUUCUAUCUAUUCUUAGUAACAACUGACUAGCUUCCACCCUCUCACUUGCAAACUUGUAAACCCCCCUCUCACUUCAUUUCAAGAGUGUGGAUCACACAAAAAUGUG